RNAcentral lists this ribosomal RNA (557 nucleotides) under uncultured delta proteobacterium. RNAcentral describes it as "bacterial SSU rRNA". It matches the Rfam family "Bacterial small subunit ribosomal RNA", at positions 828 to 1387 of the family's 1533-position model. The record is from RNAcentral. Lineage: Bacteria; Deltaproteobacteria.
GGUAUUGACCCCAUCAGUGACGAAGCAAACGCGUUAAGUAUCCCGCCUGGGGAGUACGGUCGCAAGAUUAAAACUCAAAGAAAUUGACGGGGGCCCGCACAAGCGGUGGAGCAUGUGGUUUAAUUCGAUGCAACGCGAAGAACCUUACCUGGGUUUGACAUCUACUGGAAGACUCUCAGAAAUGAGGUCGCCUUCGGGCCGGUAGACAGGUGCUGCAUGGCUGUCGUCAGCUCGUGUCGUGAGAUGUUGGGUUAAGUCCCGCAACGAGCGCAACCCUCGUGUUUAGUUGCCAGCAUUCAGUUGGGCACUCUAAACAGACUGCCGACGUUAAGUCGGAGGAAGGUGGGGAUGACGUCAAGUCCUCAUGGCCUUUAUAUCCAGGGCUACACACGUGCUACAAUGGUCGGUACAGAGGGAAGCCAAAUAGUAAUAUGGAGCCAAUCCCCUUAAAGCCGAUCUAAGUUCAGAUUGAGGUCUGCAACUCGACCUCAUGAAGGUGGAAUCGCUAGUAAUCGCGGAUCAGACGCCGCGGUGAAUACGUUCCCGGGCCUUGUACA